CCAGAGAUAUACACCAUCUGUGUUACAGGGUUACAAGUAUUAUUACACCAGAGAUAUACACCAUCUAUGUUACAGGGUUACAAGUAUUAUUACACCAGAAAUAUAUACCAUCUGUGUUACAAGGUUACAAGUAUCAUUACACCAGAGAUAUACACCAUCUGUGUUACAAGGUUACAAGUAUUAUUACACCAGAGAUAUGUACCAUCUGUGUUACAGGGUUACAAGUAUUAUUACACCAGAGAUAUACACCAUCUGUGUUACAGGGUUACAAGUAUUAUUACACCAGAUAUAUUCACCAUAUGUGUAACAAGGUUACAAGAAUUAUUACACCAGAGAUAUGUACCAUCUGUGUUACAGGGUUACAAGUAUUAUUACACCAGAGAUAUGUAUCAUCCGUGUUACAGGGUUACAAGUAUUAUUACACCAGAGAUAUACACCAUCUGUGUUACAAGGUUACAAGUAUUAUUACACCAGAGAUAUACACCAUCUGUGUUACAGGGUUACAAGUAUUAUCACACCAGAGAUAUUUACCAUCUGUGUUACACAGUUAAAAUACCUAUCUGCCCCCAUAAAAUAACCAUCUACAAUCUACUGUAGCCAUAAAAUACCUAUCUGCCCACAUAAAAUACCUAUCUACCCCCAUUAAAUAACCAUUUACCCCAUAUACUGUAGCCAUUAAAUACCUAUCUGCCCCCAUAAAAUACCUAUCUACCCCCAUAAAAUAUCCAUCUACCCUAUACCGUAGCCAUAAAAUACCUAUCUGCCCACAUAAAAUACCUAUCUACCCCCUUUAAAUAUCCAUUUACCCCAUAUACUGUAGCCAUAAAGUACCUAUCUAACCCCAUUAAAUAUCCUUUUACCCCAUAUACUGUAGCCAUAAAAUACCUACUUGCCCCCAUAAGAUACCUAUCUUCCCCCCAUAAAAUAUCCAUCUACCCUAUACUGUAGCCAUAAAAUACCUAUCAGCCCCCAUAAAAUAUCCAUCUACCCCAUAUACUGUAGCCAUAAAGUACCUAUCUACCCCCAUUAAAUAACCAUCUACCCCAUAUACUGUAGCCAUAGAGUACCUAUCUACCCCCAUUAAAUAACCAUCUACUCCAUAUACUG
This 1107-nucleotide unclassified non-coding RNA is filed under the name Mizuhopecten yessoensis (Yesso scallop). RNAcentral's name for it is "uncharacterized LOC110463839, transcript variant X5". The record is from RNAcentral. Lineage: Eukaryota; Metazoa; Mollusca; Bivalvia; Pectinida; Pectinidae.